This 301-nucleotide ribosomal RNA is filed under the name uncultured bacterium. RNAcentral describes it as "partial 16S ribosomal RNA". It matches the Rfam family "Bacterial small subunit ribosomal RNA", at positions 509 to 807 of the family's 1533-position model. The record is from RNAcentral.
CAGUAGCCGCGGGAAUACGAAGGGUGCAAGCGUUACUCGGAAUUACUGGGCGUAAAGCGUGCGUAGGUGGUGGUUUAAGUCCGUUGUGAAAGCCUUGGGCUCAACCUGGGAAUUGCAGUGGAUACUGGGUCACUAGAGUGUGGUAGAGGAUAGUGGAAUUUCCGGUGUAGCAGUGAAAUGCGUAGAGAUCGGAAGGAACAUCUGUGGCGAAGGCGACUAUCUGGGCCAACACUGACACUGAGGCACGAAAGCGUGGGGAGCAAACAGGAUUAGAUACCCCCGUAGUCCCUGUCUCUUAUAC